GGAUGAGCCCGCGGCCUAUCAGCUUGUUGGUGAGGUAAUGGCUCUCCAAGGCUUCGACGGGUAGCCGGCCUGAGAGGGUGACCGGCCACACUGGGACUGAGACACGGCCCAGACUCCUACGGGAGGCAGCAGUGGGGAAUAUUGGACAAUGGGCGGAAGCCUGAUCCAGCAACGCCGCGUGAGGGAUGACGGCCUUCGGGUUGUAAACCUCUUUCAGCACAGACGAAGCGCAAGUGACGGUAUGUGCAGAAGAAGGACCGGCCAACUACGUGCCAGCAGCCGCGGUAAUACGUAGGGUCCGAGCGUUGUCCGGAAUUAUUGGGCGUAAAGGGCUCGUAGGCGGUUUGUCACGUCGGGAGUGAAAACCAGGUGCUUAACACCUGGCCUGCUUUCGAUACGGGCAGACUAGAGGUACUCAGGGGAGAAUGGAAUUCCUGGUGUAGCGGUGAAAUGCGCAGAUAUCAGGAGGAACACCGGUGGCGAAGGCGGUUCUCUGG
Molecule: ribosomal RNA, 497 nt
Filed under: uncultured bacterium
Lineage: Bacteria
Description: bacterial SSU rRNA
Rfam family: Bacterial small subunit ribosomal RNA
Source: RNAcentral